CCUACGGGUGGCAGCAGUGGGGAAUAUUGGACAAUGGGGGGAACCCUGAUCCAGCCAUGCCGCGUGUGUGAAGAAGGCCCUCGGGUUGUAAAGCACUUUCAGUGAGGAAGAACGCCUGGUGGUUAAUACCCAUCAGGAAAGACAUCACUCACAGAAGAAGCACCGGCUAACUCCGUGCCAGCAGCCGCGGUAAUACGGAGGGUGCGAGCGUUAAUCGGAAUUACUGGGCGUAAAGCGCGCGUAGGUGGCUUGAUAAGCCGGUUGUGAAAGCCCCGGGCUCAACCUGGGAACGGCAGCCGGAACUGUCCAGCUUGAGUGCCGGAGAGGAAGGUAGAAUUCCCGGUGUAGCGGUGAAAUGCGUAGAGAUCGGGAGGAAUACCAGUGGCGAAGGCGGCCUUCUGGACUGACACUGACACUGAGGUGCGAAAGCGUGGGUAGCAAACAGGAUUAGAUACCCCUGUAGUC
Molecule: ribosomal RNA, 465 nt
Filed under: Vreelandella stevensii
Lineage: Bacteria; Pseudomonadati; Pseudomonadota; Gammaproteobacteria; Oceanospirillales; Halomonadaceae
Description: partial 16S ribosomal RNA
Rfam family: Bacterial small subunit ribosomal RNA
Source: RNAcentral